RNAcentral lists this transfer RNA (68 nucleotides) under Marmota monax (woodchuck). Its description in RNAcentral is "tRNA.Undet". The record is from RNAcentral. Lineage: Eukaryota; Metazoa; Chordata; Mammalia; Rodentia; Sciuridae.
GGAUUGUGGCUCAGUGGUAGAGUGCUCACCUAACAUGCAUAAGGCACUGGGUUCGAUCCUCAGCACCA